GACGAACCGUGCGAACGUUGUUCGGAAUCACUGGGCUUAAAGGGCGCGUAGGCGGGCCAGCAAGUCAGGGGUGAAAGCCCACGGCUCAACCGUGGAAGUGCCUCUGAUACUGUUGGCCUCGAGGGAGGUAGGGGCGUGCGGAACUUCCAGUGGAGCGGUGAAAUGCGUAGAUAUCGGAAGGAACAUCGGUGGCGAAAGCGGCGCGCUGGACCUCUACUGACGCUGAGGCGCGAAAGCCAGGGGAGCAAACGGG
RNAcentral lists this ribosomal RNA (253 nucleotides) under uncultured bacterium. RNAcentral's name for it is "partial 16S ribosomal RNA". It matches the Rfam family "Bacterial small subunit ribosomal RNA", at positions 524 to 776 of the family's 1533-position model. The record is from RNAcentral.